Long non-coding RNA from Chrysemys picta bellii (western painted turtle), 1947 nucleotides. RefSeq lists it as uncharacterized. The record is from RefSeq and is a predicted model, not a curated record. NCBI's taxonomy places the organism in Eukaryota, Metazoa, Chordata, Testudines, Emydidae.
AUAAAUCUUCAGUUAUUACUUUGGUGAGAGAUCUAAGGUACAAACUGACCUGGGGAGAUGGGGCUUUAAAAAAAUACCAGCUCUUGUCAUUUCAUCACAAGUCCCACAAGAGCUGGCAACACUAUCGUUGCAAGAUGAAAGAAAAACUGAACUAACUCACUGGACUCUGGUCCUGGAAACCCUUGGCUGUCUUUGCUCAGAUCAGUGGCCUUCAGAAGGGUGGAGGGACUGUGGAAGUCUGGAAGGACAGGUUGAAUGGUGACCUCUGGGAGGAUGGCUGCUUUGACAAAUGCAGCUUUUUCACUCUAGUGCAGAUCUCUCUGGAAGCGACUCAGUGGGAAGCUCCAUUCUUAAGAUACAGUGCUGGGAACAAAGGCACCCAAACCUUGGACUGUUUGCAAGAGGAAACAGAUACAAUUUGUGCCAGAGGUUUGGCAGCUGGGUUUACUCAGAGCUUCAGGGACUGCCUUUCGUGAUUAGGGGACAUUCAGUCUCCAUGGACCAUUCGGUACUUGGCCUCUCAGUUGAGACUGCCAGCAAGGAAAUUGUGCCAGUCCCUGGACAGUGAGGUUGUUGGAGGCACGGGAACGUGGGAUGAGGCAUGGGGAAUAGACUGAAGCAGUCAAGGUGCAGCUGUGAGGAAGAGGCGGCCUGCUGAGCCCAGCUGGGAUAAAGGACCCUGGACACACUGGAACUCAAGACACCACCAGGAUCACAGGACAUGAAGGGACAGGGAACAUGAACAUCAGGAUACUCAGGACAGGAUCAGAUAAGCAAUCUUCUAUUGUCUUCCGUCUCAACUUGACAUGCCGUCUCAGCAGGGAAUAGACCUUAGUACUGGGCUGCCUCUAUGAUGGACAGCUGCCAUCACAGGGCGCCGUAACCUUUUAUCACCUUUAGUUGCUGGGCAGGAUUCUCUAGGACACCUGACCCUUUCCCGCCCAAAUGUACAAAAUGAGCCAAUACUUCCUGCCAAAGUGCUGCUGCUAGGCAGUUUAUAGACAAAGGGAGAACAAGAAGGGGGAAUGCAAUAUGGAGGGUGAAGUACAACUCAAGGAAACCAAGGUGGCGAACUGAAAUUUCCUUAGUAAAAUUAAAAAUUGUAGAUGUAACCUAGCAGGGGAUUAGGGAGGAUGAAUAAGUGGUGGUGCGUUUAUAUGGGGAAAUAUAUAAGAAAAAAGGAAAACACUGACUGAGGUUAAUUAGUCUUUUACAAUUCCUUGUGACUAGUCUAUCUAAUGUUGAACCGUCUUAAGAGGCACAGAUGCAAAGGAUUCUUGAACAUUCAAAACAGUCACCUUCAGCUGGCAAAGACUAGGGAAAAGGUGGCUGCCUGGGAGGAGACAAGAAAUGCUCCUCUAUCAUCAAUUUGUAUAAUGCUAGUGUCCAGAGGCUCCAAACAGCAUUGGAACCUCAUUGUGCUGGAGCCUCAGGAUGGAGGCCAGAGGCCUGGAGCGGACAAAGAUUUUGAGUGUGCCCAUGCUCCCGCAAUGAAAAACUAAACACUUACUCUUCUUAAACACGCCUGGCCUUUUUGGACUCUGUUAUCCUGCUUUGGGGAAUAAAGUCAUCACACAACAAAGUCAGGGAAAAAUCCCUCAGUAUUGCAUAUUUGGAGAGAACUCAUUACCACAAGAUAUCACUGAGGCCAAGAGCUAAGCAGGAUAAAGGAAGAAAGCUUGGACCAAAAUAUGGACAACAGCAACAUCGACAAUUACAUGAGAAGGAAUAUAAAUCCUCUUACUUCAUGACCUGCCAUUGGGACUUCUGCUCUUCUCUUCCCUCUCUGAAUUGCCUCCUCUCCACUUAGACAGUGGAGAUCAAUCAACUCUAUGGAACCUGACUGUGAAGCCAGAAGUGCGACGGUCCUGUCCCUCCUUGGGUGUUGGUGACGAGAGGACGUAGGAACAAUCACUUUGGUACACACACACCUUGCUGCCAGUGACA